UCGUCCAUGCUUUGGCGCUUUAGCUGUAUGAUAGAAUUUAAUAUUUCAUAAAGCUAGAUUACCAAAGCAUGGAAG
This 75-nucleotide microRNA precursor is filed under the name Culex quinquefasciatus (southern house mosquito). RNAcentral describes it as "microRNA cqu-mir-79 precursor". Its record names the gene cqu-mir-79. It matches the Rfam family "mir-9/mir-79 microRNA precursor family". From Rfam's summary of the family: The mature ~21nt miRNAs are processed from hairpin precursor sequences represented here. miR-9 is processed from the 5' arm of its precursor, and miR-79 from the 3' arm. The bounds of the precursors are predicted based on conservation and base pairing and are not generally known. Lineage: Eukaryota; Metazoa; Arthropoda; Insecta; Diptera; Culicidae. The record is from miRBase by way of RNAcentral.